UUGCAUAUAGUAAUAUAAUUUCUUGUUUAAUAAUUUUGUAAGCUAUUUCCGUAUGCACGCUUUUUUAUUUUUGCACUUGAUGUAUCUAUGACGCAACCAUCUUCCACGUCCUUUUAAUUCUCCGUCUCACCUUCACUCCUUCAACCUCACUCAGUUGGAGAACACCGAAUCAGUGAAGAAAAUUAUUCAGAUUUAAUAAAACCUUCCCAUUAAAAUAAAAUAAAAAGGAGCAAGCGUUUUUUCAGGGAGAGAAAAUGCGAGUGAAAGAGAUGCACCCACUGUGCUGUAUCUCCCUCGAGAGUCCCGGAAUCGGCAACCAUUCGCCGGAGCGCGAGGCGGCGCCGGCCGCGAUUUCCCCAACCAGGAGCCUCCCGGUGGCGGCCUCCUACGGCAAUGCCGCUCAGGGAUCGGAGACCACCGUCGCCGGCGUUCUCUACAAGUGGACCAAUUACGGCAAAGGCUGGAGAUCCAGGUGGUUCCUCCUGCGGAACGGCGUCCUCUCGUACGCCAAGAUCCGCUGUCCGGAGAAUCUCAUCCUCCUCACUCCUUCCGACGACGUUCGCCUCAUCGGAGAGGUUUCCACCAGCCGCCUCGCACGUAAGAACAGCGCCACCACCGUCACGCGACGGAAGCACCGCAAAGCUUCUUCUUCUUCUUCUUCUUCUUCCGGCGUUGUCCAUCUCAAGCAGAUUUCGUCAUUCAGAGAGAGCAAAUCAGAUGAUCGGCGUUUCUAUAUAUUUACAGCAACAAAGACGCUCCAUCUGAGAACUGAUUCUAGGAAAGAUAGGGUGUCUUGGAUACACGCGUUGGUAUCAACACGUGGCCUGUAUCCUCUUCAACCACUCAAUGAUCAUCUCUUGCUUGCACCCAAUGACAUAUCAAUGUCAACGGAGCGUCUUAAGACACGCUUGCUCGAAGAGGGUACCAGUGAGAACCUUGUGAAGGAGUGCGAACAAAUCAUGCUCUCAGAGUUAUCCGAAAUGCAAGGACAACUUGAAGUUCUUUGUCAAGAGCGAUCUAAUUUGCUUGACACAAUAAGGCAGUUGGAGGCAGCUAAUACUGAACCUGAGGCCUCUGCAAUACACGAUGGUGAAUACCAGUUAACAAAGAAUGAGUUUUCAAGUCUUAGGCGCGGAAAAUAUAGUGAAUGUAGUACAACUGAAUCAUCUGAUGAUAUUGAGAAACAAGAGAUGGAAGAAGUGUCAGACGAAGAUGAAAUCUCAUAUUAUGAUACGAGAGAGUGUUUUCCAGAGCCUGAUUGCAAGUGUGACUCUGCAGGAGCUAUGAAGCAAGUUGACAGGUGCAGGGAAGCCAACUCACAGUGCAUUGAUACAGAGAUCAUUCAUCCGGAGAAAAUGAUCUGUAAUUAUAAGCACCCUCACAUUGCAAGGCGAAGGAAACUUCCAGAUCCUGUUGAGAAAGAGAAGGGUGUUAGUCUUUGGUCAAUGAUCAAGGACAACGUGGGAAAAGAUCUCACGAGAGUUUGUCUCCCGGUAUACUUUAAUGAGCCGAUAUCAUCCUUACAAAAAUGUUGUGAGGACUUGGAGUACUCUUAUCUUCUGGAUCAAGCUUAUGAGUACGGAAAAUCAGGAAACAAUCUCCUUCGGGCACUGUAUGUUGCUGCCUUUGCAGUUUCUGGAUAUGCGUCAUCUGAAGGUCGUAAUUGUAAACCCUUUAAUCCUUUACUAGGAGAAACCUACGAGGCUGAUUACCCCGAGAAAGGAAUUCGCUUCUUUUCUGAGAAGGUUAGUCACCAUCCAACUCUCAUUGCCUGCCACUGCGAAGGUAGAGGAUGGAAGUUUUGGGCUGACAGCAACAUCCAUUCAAAGUUUUGGGGAAGGUCAAUUCAGCUUGACCCCGUGGGUGUUCUGACCCUAGAGUUCAAUGAUGGUGAAAUAUUUCAGUGGAGCAAGGUCACCACCACGAUCUAUAAUCUUAUCCUUGGGAAAAUAUACUGUGAUCAUCAUGGGAACAUGGAUAUACGUGGUAAUCGUAAAUAUUCAUGCAGACUCAAGUUCAAAGAGCAGACGAUCCUCGACCGAAAUCCUCGUCAGGUGCAUGGAUUUGUCGAAGAUGCAACGGGUAAAAAAGUAGCCACAUUAUUUGGCAAAUGGGAUGAUAGCAUGUAUUAUAUGAGUGGUAAUGUGAAUGUUAAGCCUAAAGAUUUCUCUUCAUCAAACGCAUCCUUGUUGUGGAAAAGGACUAUGCCAUCUCCUAAUCUCACCCGGUAUAAUUUGACACCAUUUGCCAUCACUCUGAAUGAGCUUACUCCGGGACUGAAGCCUUUUCUGAUCCCGGGUAUUUGAUGACGGAUUAAAGGAGAAGCUCCCGCCCACAGAUUCCAGGCUCAGACCAGAUCAACGGCAUCUAGAGAAUGGGGAAUACGAGAAGGCUAAUUUCGAGAAACAAAGGUUGGAAAAGCGACAGAGAAUGUCGAGGAAAAUACAAGAAAAUGGUUGGAAGCCUAGGUGGUUCCGAAGAGAAGGUGAAAAUGGAACAUUUCGAUACGUUGGUGGGUAUUGGGAAGCAAAAGACCUUGGAAGAUGGGACGGGUGCCCUAAUAUAUUUGGUGAAAUUAAUGAAGACUCUGUCGAUCGGUUAGGUGCAUUUUAAUUUGGUUCAGAAUGGCUUGGCAAAACGCGGCUGAAAUCGGGAUCCUAAAGCAGUGUACAGGCUUUGUGAAUUGUCGUGUGUUGUUGAUAUAUGAAAAAUGAACGCAGUGGAAAGGGUAGCAAAAUUAACUUCCAGCAUUUGUUUCAGGACGCUGCUUUGUGAAAUUAAACGACAUACUUUACAUCCAGGGUUAGUACAGUUGUAAUUUUUUUUAAAUCAGGACCUGGUUUUGCGCGGAAGAGAGUUGGAAAUUGAAAUUGUUACUUGGUCUUGGAUGUACGUAUAUAUAUGAGAAAAAUCCAGCGUAGGAACAGUUGUUAGAUCACGCGUCAUCUCUUUGUCACAUUAUCAUAAUUUUGCCUUUUAUUUUUAUAUUGUUUUGUUUUUGUUAUGUAAUUAUUUUGGGGUAUUAGCUUGUGUAAGGAUAGAUCCCAUUACCAUGUUAUAUACUCAGCCCCAAAGGCUAUGGAUUUAUUAGCUAAUUGAUUUCAAUUUUCGGAGAAAUAAAUGAUGAGAUGUUUUAUCA
Cajanus cajan (pigeon pea) is the source of this 3139-nucleotide RNA transcript. It is a transcript of the gene named oxysterol-binding protein-related protein 2B, with no coding region annotated. Lineage: Eukaryota; Viridiplantae; Streptophyta; Magnoliopsida; Fabales; Fabaceae. The record is from RefSeq and is a predicted model, not a curated record.